Colias croceus (clouded yellow) is the source of this 1244-nucleotide long non-coding RNA. RefSeq lists it as uncharacterized. The record is from RefSeq and is a predicted model, not a curated record. NCBI's taxonomy places the organism in Eukaryota, Metazoa, Arthropoda, Insecta, Lepidoptera, Pieridae. The transcript has 2 exons.
GUUUACUUGCAGAUGGAAACGCCACAUAUAAUUUAAGUUUUUAAAAAUAUUUAUUACGUAUGGAUAGCAUGGUCUUCUAUGGCACCGAAAAAAAUUAUACCCCAGUACAAAUGGGGCGGGCAAUAGAAGCGGUAAGGAAAGGCGAAAAUAUAGAUAUAGCUGCAAAACAAUAUGGUGUUCCCAGAAUUACGCUUCAUGACAUCCUAUCAAAACUGCAAGAAGAUAUUUUAGAAACGUGGAUAUUAGCGAUGGCUGAUAAGCACUGUCCCGUAAGAGAAUGCUUAUUAGACAGUGUGCAGAAAAUCAUCACUGACCUAAACAUACCCAAUCCAUUCACCAACAAUAGACCGGGAAAAAAAUGGUUUCCUUUCUUUCUUAAAGAGACGCUAACAGAAAAAGUUGCCAAAAAUUUGUCAAAGGCUCGUGAUAAUGUAUCGGAAGAAAACAUCAAAAUAUGGUUCACAGAAAUAAAGACUUACCUUGAAGACAAUGAUCUGAUAGACAUUGUUCUUGACCCAAAUAGAUGUUUAAACGCAGACGAAACUGUUUUUUUUUGUCACCGAAGAAAGGCCGAGUACUUUCUAAAAAAGGUGAAAAACAUCUGUACAGCUCGAGUGGCGAUGACAAAGAAAAUCUCACGGUUUUGUUAACCGGUAAUGCUGCCGGGUUACUGGCUCCACCGAUGAUAGUUUUCGCCUAUAAGAGAAUUCCCAGAUACAUCUCUGACUCUGUUUAUAAUACUUGGGGUAUUGGCAAAUCGGAAACAGGCUGGAUGUGUAGUAACACAUAUGACGAAUAUAUUUUUUCAGAGCGCUAAAACUGUUUUGGAAAAAUGCCGUUUACGAAUGGAAGAUGGAAAAUUUAGGACAGAACAUCAGAAAAAAGAACUUCACGCCAGUUUUAAAAAGAGCUAUUGAAAAAUUUACGCCUGAGUGUGAAUAUGCCCCUUUGGAUCAGAAUAUAUAGAUAUGUCCAAAAUCGAACAUCGAGAGAAAGUUUCGGACUUGUCAGGUAAACCGGUAUCAACAGAGUUUUUGAAGUGCUUGGAAAAAGAGACUGUCAAAGUGUUUACCGCGAAACUGAGUUUAUUCAAUAAACUUUACUACGAAGACAGAAAAACGGUCGAGAAUAAUCUGCCUGAAGAAGACACAGCCUUGUACAUCAUAUUAUGGUCUAAAAAUAAGCACGACUACGGAAAUGAUUUUGAAGCUAAUUCAGAGACACCUACUAUUGAGAUAGUUAAC